AUGGUGCAGAUUAAUGGGCGCCGGCUGGAGAACCUGUCUCACUCCGAGGCUGUGGAGCUCUUCCGAACGGCGGGGGAGGACGUGCUGCUCCGGGUGCAACAGAGGCCUCCAGCGCCGGCGAAUGGCCCUGUGGUACCCAGACCUGAGGAGCCCCCCAUUCCCAUGUGGAUCGUCCUGACCAUCUCGGCAGCAGGAGUCGCAGUGGCUGCCUUCCUCUAUUUCCGAUCCAAUACGAGGAGGCACUUUUAA
This 249-nucleotide long non-coding RNA is filed under the name Lepisosteus oculatus (spotted gar). RNAcentral describes it as "lncRNA (ENSLOCG00000023065.1)". The record is from RNAcentral. Lineage: Eukaryota; Metazoa; Chordata; Actinopteri; Semionotiformes; Lepisosteidae.